UACGAAGGGGGCGAGCGUUGUUCGGAUUUACUGGGCGUAAAGCGCACGUAGGCGGCUUUGUAAGUUAGAGGUGAAAGCCCAGGGCUUAACCCUGGAAUUGCCUUUAAGACUGCAUCGCUAGAAUUGUGGAGAGGUAAGUGGAAUUCCGAGUGUAGAGGUGAAAUUCGUAGAUAUUCGGAAGAACACCAGUGGCGAAGGCGACUUACUGGACACAUAUUGACGCUGAGGUGCGAAAGCGUGGGGAGCAAACAGG
Molecule: ribosomal RNA, 253 nt
Filed under: uncultured bacterium
Lineage: Bacteria
Description: partial 16S ribosomal RNA
Rfam family: Bacterial small subunit ribosomal RNA
Source: RNAcentral